CCUACGGGAGGCUGCAGUGGGGAAUAUUGCACAAUGGGGGAAACCCUGAUGCAGCGACGCCGCGUGAGUGAAGAAGUAAUUCGUUAUGUAAAGCUCUAUCAGCAGGGAAGAAAAUGACGGUACCUGAGUAAGAAGCCACGGCUAACUACGUGCUAGCAGCCGCGGUAAUAAGUAGGGGGAAAGCGUUAUCCGGAUUUACUGGGUGUAAAGGGAGCGUAGACGGCAGUGCAAGUCUGGAGUGAAAGGCGGGGGCUCAACCCCCGGACUGCUCUGGAAACUGUACGGCUGGAGUGCAGGAGAGGUAAGUGGAAUUCCUAGUGUAGCGGUGAAAUGCGUAGAUAUUAGGAGGAACACCAGUGGCGAAGGCGGCUUACUGGACUGUAACUGACGUUGAGGCUCGAAAGCGUGGGGAGCAAACAGGAUUAGAUACCCCUGUAGUC
Molecule: ribosomal RNA, 440 nt
Filed under: uncultured bacterium
Lineage: Bacteria
Description: partial 16S ribosomal RNA
Rfam family: Bacterial small subunit ribosomal RNA
Source: RNAcentral